UACAAGUUACAAUUCAUUUUAGUAACAUAAAACUGUUUUAUAUUAUCAAUAUUAUAAUGUUGUGUUUAUGUAUCUAGUUUUGAGAGAACUUUUUUUCUCUCAUGUUCUUUGAAAACUGAAUAGUAAAGAUAAAUUAAUAUAACAACGACAUCAAAAAAAUAAAUUAGUCAAUUUGUUUUGUGAUACCGAGUUAAUUAUUUUGGAAAAAAAUAAUUUAUUAAAAUGUCUUUGAAUACAUCAAAACAAUAGGAAAAUAUU
Molecule: unclassified non-coding RNA, 258 nt
Filed under: uncultured Mycoplasma sp.
Lineage: Bacteria; Bacillati; Mycoplasmatota; Mollicutes; Mycoplasmatales; Mycoplasmataceae
Description: partial 16S-23S ribosomal RNA intergenic spacer
Source: RNAcentral